Molecule: ribosomal RNA, 1360 nt
Filed under: uncultured prokaryote
Description: partial 16S ribosomal RNA
Rfam family: Bacterial small subunit ribosomal RNA
Source: RNAcentral
CGUAACGCGUAUAGAAUCUGCCUUGUACUGGAGAAUAGCCCAGAGAAAUUUGGAUUAAUGCUCCAUAGUCUUUUCCGAUCGCAUGAUUGGAUUUGUAAAGCUCCGGCGGUAAGAGAUAGGCAUGCGUCCCAUUAGUUAGUUGGUAAGGUAACGGCUUACCAAGACAGCGAUGGGUAGGGGGUCUGAGAGGAUGAUCCCCCACACUGGUACUGAGACACGGACCAGACUCCUACGGGAGGCAGCAGUGAGGAAUAUUGGGCAAUGGACGCAAGUCUGACCCAGCCAUGCCGCGUGCAGGAAGAAUGCCCUAUGGGUUGUAAACUGCUUUUAUAUACCAAGAAACGCAGGUACGUGUACCUGUCUGACGGUAGUAUAUGAAUAAGCACCGGCUAACUCCGUGCCAGCAGCCGCGGUAAUACGGAGGGUGCAAGCGUUAUCCGGAUUUAUUGGGUUUAAAGGGUUCGUAGGCGGGACUUUAAGUCAGUGGUGAAAGCCUAUAGCUCAACUAUAGAAUUGCCAUUGAUACUGAAGUUCUUGAGUACACUUGAAGUUAGCGGAAUGUAUCAUGUAGCGGUGAAAUGCAUAGAUAUGAUACAGAACACCGAUUGCGAAGGCAGCUAACUAAAUUGUCACUGACGCUGAGGAACGAAAGCGUGGGGAGCGAACAGGAUUAGAUACCCUGGUAGUCCACGCUGUAAACGAUGAUCACUCGAUAUUGGCCUUACACCGUGCGUGACCGAGCGAAAGCAUUAAGUAAUCCACCUGGGGAGUACGUUCGCAAGAAUGAAACUCAAAGGAAUUGACGGGGGCCCGCACAAGCGGAGGAACAUGUGGUUUAAUUCGAUGAUACGCGAGGAACCUUACCUGGACUUAAAUGUAGAUUGACCGGUUUAGAAAUAGAUCUUUCCUUGAGCAAUUUACAAGGUGCUGCAUGGUUGUCGUCAGCUCGUGCCGUGAGGUGUCGGGUUAAGUCCCAUAACGAGCGCAACCCCUAUCGUUAGUUGCUAGCAGGUAAUGCUGAGGACUCUAGCGAGACUGCCACCGUAAGGUGCGAGGAAGGUGGGGAUGACGUCAAAUCAGCACGGCCCUUAUGUCCAGGGCUACACACGUGUUACAAUGGUCGGUACAAAGGGCAGCUACUUGGUGACAAGAUGCUAAUCCCUAAAGCCGAUCCCAGUUCGGAUUGGAGUCUGCAACCCGACUCCAUGAAGUUGGAUUCGCUAGUAAUCGGAUAUCAGCCAUGAUCCGGUGAAUACGUUCCCGGGCCUUGUACACACCGCCCGUCAAACCAUGGAAGCUGGGGGUGCCUGAAGUCUGUGACCGUAAGGAGCGGCCUAGGGUAAAACUAGUGACUAGGGCU